GGGAUGGUUUCUCUAUGCGCGCAACCUGAUGCAGCCAUGCGCGUGUGUGAGAGGCCUUCGGGUUGUAAGCACUUUUGUUGAGGAGGAGGGGAUCCGGUUAAUACCUGGGUUGCAUGACGGUACCCAAAGAAUAAGCACCGGCUAACUUCGUGCCAGCAGCCGCGGUAAUACGAAG
RNAcentral lists this ribosomal RNA (175 nucleotides) under uncultured bacterium. RNAcentral's name for it is "partial 16S ribosomal RNA". It matches the Rfam family "Bacterial small subunit ribosomal RNA", at positions 357 to 530 of the family's 1533-position model. The record is from RNAcentral.